GCACAUCCUUAGUCGGUUUAUUUCAUGUUUUUUCUGCGUUUAGUAGAGAAUAGUCUUAAGAAGACCCCGUAAAACAAUGGUGUCUGUAGCGUUCACUGAUACUAACAGUUCAUGGGUGCUUUCCAGGGGCCGUUCUUGUAAUCCCAAGGAGCCUCCGUUUCCUUGUUUCGGCUGCAUACAGUGCUUGCUAUGCAGUACUGCACUUCUUUCCUCCGCCUCCCUCUCCCCACCCCUGGCAGCCACAACUACCAAGCGUUGUGGGGGUGGCGCUGUGUUCCCCGGAGUCACCCCGGACCAAUAAUUUAAAAACCAGCUGCAAAUUCGAGCACUUCUUCCCCACUCGCAUCGGUUUCCCAAGAUGAACAAUAAAACCGCUCAUCCUGAUGAGCCUGAUGUGUAUACCGUGCUUCCCCAAGGAGGAAAACACGUCCUAUUUAGAAGCUGACACUGAAGGUCCCUGCACCAAAUUCUGACCAAUCAAGUCUCUCGACGCACCAUCUUCUUUCUCCAUCUUCCGCGUCCAGCCCUCGCCAUUUUCUAAAAAGGAGACAGAGUUAAUCUGCAGUGUGAGAGUGUGUGUGGGCGGAGUGGGAGCGGAGGGGAAGGAGGAGGGAAGUGAACCCUUUUCAAACAGCCCCUUAGUCAGUGUGAUCCAAUUGUUUCCUUCUGAUCGCUGCAGCAUGCGUCUUGAUGGCACAACGUGACUGUAGAUAUAUGGUUGCAGAAAGGCGCAUGGACAAAACCAGGUUCGUUACCUGUGUCUGUGAGAUCGAUCUAAUAAAGCAUAAAUUGAUGCUGAAAGGGGAGAGAAGGUAUGGCAGUGUUUUGAUAUCUAAUGUACAUUUACUAACUAAAUAAAGGGUAACCUUUUGGAGGUGGCUGUAUGUGCAGCCUCCAGCAUUCAAAAGCAACAGAAAUAAUUUUGGAAGAUUGUGGAUUUUGCUUUGUCUUUACUAACUUAUAAGUAUAAAUACAGGGUAACAUGUAGGAGGUGGUUGUGUGUGCAGGCUCCAGCUUUUUGUAUUCAAAAGCAACACACACACAAUUCUGGAAGAUUGUGGAUUUUUCUUGGUCUUUGAGCAAGUUCCAAAUAUAAUCCCAUAAUUAUGUAUAAUAACUAAAUUGUUUUGAAAGCCUAAAUCACCCCACACUCAUGUUCUACAAAUAUGAAACCCAAUUUAAGAGUGAGAGAUGCUGAAAAUGGAAAUGGUGCUGCUUAUUGGUGGAUGGUGGGGGAACAUUUUUUGAGGCUGGCAUGUUUUGCACAAAAUCCAAAAUGCUGGUACCAUAACCAGUUAUUACUAUUGAAUUGGCCUGGCUUGAUUCAGAAUGGCCAUAUUCCAAAAUGUAUGAGAAGCAAGGGGUGUUUUUUGUGGUAUCUUUUAAUAGAUUCUCUUGGGGAAGGGGUUUGACAAACUUUUGUGCGCCCAUUGCCUUGCGUUAUGUUAGGGAGAAGGUCAGUGGGUGCCCAAAUGCUUGUUAAACUUCCCAACUAUUAUAUAGUUGUCUCAAUAAAAGAUAUCUGAGGAGGAAAAAAUAAAAACUUUACUUGUAUACUUCCUGGACUAACAUGGUUACAACAAUCCAACUCCAUGUAAUCCAAUUUAGCAUUUUUUUUGUUGCUGUCUCUCCAUUGGUACUACACAUCUUUGUGGCAC
This is a long non-coding RNA of Alligator sinensis (Chinese alligator), 1658 nucleotides long. RefSeq lists it as uncharacterized. Lineage: Eukaryota; Metazoa; Chordata; Crocodylia; Alligatoridae. The record is from RefSeq and is a predicted model, not a curated record. The transcript is spliced from 3 exons.